RNAcentral lists this ribosomal RNA (324 nucleotides) under uncultured bacterium. RNAcentral's name for it is "bacterial SSU rRNA". It matches the Rfam family "Bacterial small subunit ribosomal RNA", at positions 28 to 346 of the family's 1533-position model. The record is from RNAcentral.
GACGAACGCUGACGGUGUGCUUUAGACAUGCAAGUCGAACGAGAAAGCCCUUCGGGUUAGUAAAGUGGCGAACGGGUGAGUAACACGUGGGCAAUCUGCCCCUCGCAGGGGGACAACCGGAGGAAACCCCGGCUAAUACCCCGUAAGUUCAAAGGGAGGCAUCUCCCUUCGAAGAAAGGUAGCUUCGGCCAUCCGGCGAGGGAUGAGCCCGCGGUGCAUUAGCUAGUUGGUGGGGUAACGGCCCACCAAGGCGACGAUGCAUAGCUGGUCUGAGAGGAUGAUCAGCCACACUGGGACUGAGACACGGCCCAGACUCCUACGGGA